AACGAACGCUGGCGGCAGGCUUAACACAUGCCAGUCGAGCGCCCCGCAAGGGGAGCGGCAGACGGGCGAGUAACGCGUGGGAACGUACCUUUUGGUUCGGAACAACUCCGGGAAACUGGAGCUAAUACCGGAUAAGCCCUAACGGGGAAAGAUUUAUCGCCGAAAGAUCGGCCCGCGUCUGAUUAGCUAGUUGGUGAGGUAACGGCUCACCAAGGCGACGAUCAGUAGCUGGUCUGAGAGGAUGAUCAGCCACUCUGGGACUGAGACACGGCCCAGACUCCUACGGGAGGCAGCAGUGGGGAAUAUUGGACAAUGGGCGCAAGCCUGAUCCAGCCAUGCCGCGUGAGUGAUGAAGGCCUUAGGGUUGUAAAGCUCUUUUGUCCGGGAAGAUAAUGACUGUACCGGAAGAAUAAGCCCCGGCUAACUUCGUG
RNAcentral lists this ribosomal RNA (431 nucleotides) under uncultured bacterium. Its description in RNAcentral is "partial 16S ribosomal RNA". It matches the Rfam family "Bacterial small subunit ribosomal RNA", at positions 29 to 507 of the family's 1533-position model. The record is from RNAcentral.